CCUACGGGUGGCACCAGUGGGGAAUAUUGCACAAUGGGCGCAAGCCUGAUGCAGCCAUGCCGCGUGUGUGAAGAAGGCCUUCGGGUUGUAAAGCACUUUCAGCGGGGAGGAAGGCGAUAAGGUUAAUAACCUUGUCGAUUGACGUUACCCGCAGAAGAAGCACUGGCUAACUCCGUGCCAGCAGCCGCGGUAAUACGGAGGGUGCAAGCGUUAAUCGGAAUUACUGGGCGUAAAGCGCAUGCAGGCGGCCUGUUAAGUCAGAUGUGAAAGCCCGGGGCUUAACCUCGGAAUUGCAUUUGAAACUGGCAGGCUAGAGUCUUGUAGAGGGGGGUAGAAUUUCAGGUGUAGCGGUGAAAUGCGUAGAGAUCUGAAGGAAUACCAGUGGCGAAGGCGGCCCCCUGGACAAAGACUGACGCUCAGAUGCGAAAGCGUGGGGAGCAAACAGGAUUAGAUACCCGCGUAGUC
Molecule: ribosomal RNA, 465 nt
Filed under: uncultured bacterium
Lineage: Bacteria
Description: bacterial SSU rRNA
Rfam family: Bacterial small subunit ribosomal RNA
Source: RNAcentral